Molecule: long non-coding RNA, 365 nt
Organism: Mugil cephalus (flathead mullet)
Lineage: Eukaryota; Metazoa; Chordata; Actinopteri; Mugiliformes; Mugilidae
Exons: 3
Source: RefSeq, a predicted model, not a curated record
ACAGGGACUGAUUCCUGCAGUGAUAAUAAAGGAUGGUCUUUAUACUGGACUGGACCCCUGUCCCUCCCUCCAACAGCUCCCCCUGCAGGACAGAUCUCCCACCGCUCCCUUCACCACUUCACUUUUACCCACUCAGUGGUCAAACAUUCACCAAACACCUUUCCCAUCAUCAUCAGAGACAGACUCUAAGCUGCUGGGCCGUGAGUUCCUCAUCUGUCCACCAGAGGGCCCCACUAGACCAGAGAUUAUGUCAAGAUGGACGACACAGUAACUGGACAUGAAGCCUCGCAGGGAUCAAACUCUUCCUUUAAUGGGACAGUGGGAUGUAAUUUAAUGGCUCAACAAGGCUGGUUCUGUGAUGAUGG